UGUAGUUUAGUGGUAGAGUGCUUGCCUAGCAUGCAUGAGGCCCUGGAUUCAAUCUCCAGUA
RNAcentral lists this transfer RNA (61 nucleotides) under Fukomys damarensis (Damara mole-rat). It matches the Rfam family "tRNA", at positions 6 to 65 of the family's 71-position model. Rfam says of the family: Transfer RNA (tRNA) molecules are approximately 80 nucleotides in length. Their secondary structure includes four short double-helical elements and three loops (D, anti-codon, and T loops). The record is from Rfam by way of RNAcentral. Lineage: Eukaryota; Metazoa; Chordata; Mammalia; Rodentia; Bathyergidae.